GAUGAACGCUGGCGGCGUGCCUAAUACAUGCAAGUAGAACGCUGAAGCUUGGUGCUUGCCCCGAGCGGAUGAGUUGCGAACGGGUGAGUAACGCGUAGGUAACCUGCCUGGUAGCGGGGGAUAACUAUUGGAAACGAUAGCUAAUACCGCAUGACAACAGUUAUUGCAUGAUAACUGUUUAAAAGGGGCAAUUGCUCCACUACCAGAUGGACCUGCGUUGUAUUAGCUAGUUGGUGAGGUAACGGCUCACCAAGGCGACGAUACAUAGCCGACCUGAGAGGGUGAUCGGCCACACUGGGACUGAGACACGGCCCAGACUCCUACGGGAGGCAGCAGGAGGGAAUCUUCGGCAAUGGACGGAAGUCUGACCGAGCAACGCCGCGUGAGUGAAGAAGGUUUUCGGAUCGUAAAGCUCUGUUGUAAGAGAAGAACGAGUGUGAGAGUGGAAAGUUCACACUGUGACGGUAUCUUACCAGAAAGGGACGGCUAACUACGUG
Molecule: ribosomal RNA, 497 nt
Filed under: uncultured bacterium
Lineage: Bacteria
Description: partial 16S ribosomal RNA
Rfam family: Bacterial small subunit ribosomal RNA
Source: RNAcentral